This 260-nucleotide long non-coding RNA is filed under the name Gossypium raimondii (Peruvian cotton). RNAcentral describes it as "long non-coding RNA (GRAI_LNC003508)". The record is from RNAcentral. Lineage: Eukaryota; Viridiplantae; Streptophyta; Magnoliopsida; Malvales; Malvaceae.
GUGCGCAGUCUGUUCCGUCAUCUCUUUUGCGAACAAAUUCAGGGAUGCUAGGAUCACAAGGCGGUGGUCUUCCUUCUCAAUCUGGGUUUCCUUCAUUAGUGUCUCCUCGUACUCAGUUUAAUAAUAUGAAUAUGCUCGGGAACGUGCCUAAUGUUUCUUCCCUUCUUAAUCAGUCAUUUGGGAAUGGGGGUCCGAACCCUCAGCUUUCUGGUCCUGGGAGUGGCCAGCGUGGAGGAAUCGAUUCAGGGGCUGAAUCUGAU